AUGCAAGUCGAGCGGAACGAUCCUAGCUUGCUAGGAGGCGUCGAGCGGCGGACGGGUGAGUAACGCAUAGGAAUCUGCCCGGUAGUGGGGGAUAACCUGGGGAAACCCAGGCUAAUACCGCAUACGUCCUACGGGAGAAAGCAGGGGAUCUUCGGACCUUGCGCUAUCGGAUGAGCCUAUGUCGGAUUAGCUAGUUGGUGAGGUAAUGGCUCACCAAGGCUGCGAUCCGUAGCUGGUCUGAGAGGAUGAUCAGCCACAUCGGGACUGAGACACGGCCCGAACUCCUACGGGAGGCAGCAGUGGGGAAUAUUGGACAAUGGGCGAAAGCCUGAUCCAGCCAUGCCGCGUGUGUGAAGAAGGCCUUCGGGUUGUAAAGCACUUUCAGUGAGGAAGAAGGCCUUGAGGUUAAUACCCUCGAGGAAGGACAUCACUCACAGAAGAAGCACCGGCUAACUCCGUGCCAGCAGCCGCGGUAAUACGGAGGGUGCGAGCGUUAAUCGGAAUUACUGGGCGUAAAGCGCGCGUAGGCGGCUUGAUAAGCCGGUUGUGAAAGCCCCGGGCUCAACCUGGGAACGGCAUCCGGAACUGUCAGGCUAGAGUGCAGGAGAGGAAGGUAGAAUUCCCGGUGUAGCGGUGAAAUGCGUAGAGAUCGGGAGGAAUACCAGUGGCGAAGGCGGCCUUCUGGACUGACACUGACGCUGAGGUGCGAAAGCGUGGGUAGCAAACAGGAUUAGAUACCCUGGUAGUCCACGCCGUAAACGAUGUCGACUAGCCGUUGGGCUCCUUGAGAGCUUUGUGGC
RNAcentral lists this ribosomal RNA (800 nucleotides) under Halomonas sp. JSM 073032. Its description in RNAcentral is "bacterial SSU rRNA". It matches the Rfam family "Bacterial small subunit ribosomal RNA", at positions 55 to 847 of the family's 1533-position model. The record is from RNAcentral. Lineage: Bacteria; Pseudomonadati; Pseudomonadota; Gammaproteobacteria; Oceanospirillales; Halomonadaceae.